UACGUAGGGGGCUAGCGUUGCUCGGAAUGACUGGGCGUAAAGGGCGCGUAGGCGGAUGGCACAGUCAGAUGUGAAAUUCCCGGGCUUAACCUGGGGGCUGCAUUUGAUACGUGUUGUCUAGAGUGAGGAAGAGGGUUGUGGAAUUCCCAGUGUAGAGGUGAAAUUCGUAGAUAUUGGGAAGAACACCGGUGGCGAAGGCGGCAACCUGGUCCUUGACUGACGCUGAGGCGCGAAAGCGUGGGGAGCAAACAGG
RNAcentral lists this ribosomal RNA (253 nucleotides) under uncultured bacterium. Its description in RNAcentral is "partial 16S ribosomal RNA". It matches the Rfam family "Bacterial small subunit ribosomal RNA", at positions 524 to 776 of the family's 1533-position model. The record is from RNAcentral.